This 688-nucleotide ribosomal RNA is filed under the name Salmonella enterica subsp. enterica serovar Give. RNAcentral describes it as "bacterial LSU rRNA". It matches the Rfam family "Bacterial large subunit ribosomal RNA", at positions 1 to 722 of the family's 2925-position model. Lineage: Bacteria; Pseudomonadati; Pseudomonadota; Gammaproteobacteria; Enterobacterales; Enterobacteriaceae. The record is from RNAcentral.
GGGUUGUGAGGUUAAGCGACUAAGCGUACACGGUGGAUGCCCUGGCAGUCAGAGGCGAUGAAGGACGUGCUAAUCUGCGAUAAGCGCCGGUAAGGUGAUAUGAACCGUUAUAACCGGCGAUUUCCGAAUGGGGAAACCCAGUGUGUUUCGACACACUAUCAUUAACUGAAUCCAUAGGUUAAUGAGGCGAACCGGGGGAACUGAAACAUCUAAGUACCCCGAGGAAAAGAAAUCAACCGAGAUUCCCCCAGUAGCGGCGAGCGAACGGGGAGGAGCCCAGAGCCUGAAUCAGCAUAUGUGUUAGUGGAAGCGUCUGGAAAGGCGCGCGAUACAGGGUGACAGCCCCGUACACAAAAGCGCAUGUGCUGUGAGCUCGAUGAGUAGGGCGGGACACGUGGUAUCCUGUCUGAAUAUGGGGGGACCAUCCUCCAAGGCUAAAUACUCCUGACUGACCGAUAGUGAACCAGUACCGUGAGGGAAAGGCGAAAAGAACCCCGGCGAGGGGAGUGAAAAAGAACCUGAAACCGUGUACGUACAAGCAGUGGGAGCACCCUUUGGGGUGUGACUGCGUACCUUUUGUAUAAUGGGUCAGCGACUUAUAUUCUGUAGCAAGGUUAACCGAAUAGGGGAGCCGGAGGGAAACCGAGUCUUAACCGGGCGUUAAGUUGCAGGGUAUAGACCCGAAACC